Non-coding RNA from Zonotrichia albicollis (white-throated sparrow), 2026 nucleotides. Lineage: Eukaryota; Metazoa; Chordata; Aves; Passeriformes; Passerellidae. The record is from RefSeq and is a predicted model, not a curated record.
AUGGCGGCGGCGGGCGCGGAGCUGCCGGGGCCCGGCGCGCUCGCCCUGCUCGAGCUGGCGCCCGGCGCGCCCUGCUGCCCUCACGGUCCUGCGCUUCUGUUUGUGAAGACCAGCCAAGGAAAAGAGGAAGGAAGAAGAUUCUAUGCUUGUUCGGCUUGUAGGGAUAGAAAGGAUUGUAACUUUUUCCAGUGGGAAGAUGAGAAGGUGUCAGAAGCUAGGCUUGCAGCACGUGAAGAAUAUAAUAGAAGUCAUCAGCCUUGUUUUACACACAGACAGAACGUGGACAGGUACAAGAAUUUUGUUCUGUUGCCGUUAUCAAAGAGGAGGUUUUGCCAGGAAUGCCAGCAAUUGCUAUUGCCAGCAGAAUGGAAGAAACACUCAGAUCACCAGGUCCUGUGUGAUAUCACCACUGCCCAGCUGAAAAGUCCAAGUCAGCUUCUGUAUCCACUGGAGAAUAAAAAAACAAAUGCACAGUAUUUAUUUGCAGACAGAAGUUGCCAGUUCCUACUGAAUCUCCUUACAGAUUUAGGAUUCAGACGAGUGCUCUCUGUUGGAACACCCAGGCUUCAUGAAAUGAUCCAGUCAAAAGCGUCACAAGAAGAAGAAUUUAAUGUUCGAAGCCUUCUGCUAGAUAUUGAUUUCAGGUAUUCACAAUUUUACACAGAGGAUGAAUUUUGCCACUACAACAUGUUCAAUCAUCAUUUUUUUGGCGGAGAGGCUGCACGUGAAACUUGCAGGAAAUUCUUGUGUGAAGAGAAUGGUGAAAGAGUCAUUAUGGUAACUGAUCCCCCAUUUGGAGGUUUAGUGGAAGCACUGGCUUCUAGCUUUAAAAAGCUGAUGGCAAUGUGGAGGGGGACAGAAAAAGGAGGUUUUUCAUUACUAGGUCAUGACAACAGAGAGAUGCCCAUGUUCUGGAUAUUCCCAUACUUCUUUGAGUCUCGUAUUCUUGACUUUUUCCCAAGCUUCAGUAUGAUGGAUUACCAGGUAGACUAUGAUAAUCAUGCACUGUAUAAACAUGGCAAGACAGGCCGUAGGCAGUCUCCUGUCCGUAUCUUCACGAACCUUACCCCAAGUGUGAUUGUGCUUCCUGAAGAAGAGGGAUAUAGAUUUUGCACUGUAUGUCAGCGAUAUGUUAGUUCUGGUAACCAGCACUGUGAGAUAUGCAAUUCAUGUACAUCAAAAGAUGGCAGACGAUGGAAACAUUGUGUUCUUUGCAAAAAAUGUGUAAAGCCCUCUUGGUUUCACUGUGACAAUUGCAAGUGCUGCACUCUUGAGAAGCACAGCUGUGGGAAGAGUGACAGUGGCUGUUUCGUUUGUGGCAAGGCCGGUCACAAGCGCAGCGCCUGUCCCAGUCUGUCCCGCAGCAGAGCAGCUGGGCAGUAAGUGGGAUACUGCAUUCAUACACUCAAAUGCAGCAUUCAGAUGGGAUGAGAUCUUAUGCCAGGGAAUCAAUUCACAAAGAGAUGAUUUUCCACUUUAGGUGCUGAUGUCAGCUUUCCCUGUAGCCCACUUGCUGCACUGCUGGGGAGUAUGUAGUGAAGGGAGGGUGGGAUAAAAGGCAGGUCACUUACUGGGGCUCCCAACUCCCUGUCUCUGGGUUUUCUUUCAAAAUUGAUUUAUACGGAUUGCAGAGUUCUGUCAAGAUGACUGAAAAUUGAAGUAAUGGAACACUUUUAUUCCCUUUGAAUUCCUCAUGAAAAGGCAGAGAAAAGAGUCACUAAGAGUCACUAGUUACUGCUUCCUGUCUCUUUUGCUUUGUUUCAGCACAUUUUGCUUUUUUUCCUUCUGGUAUUUCAGGUGCUUUUUGUAGUAUGAUCUAAAUCUCCACCAUUAAUGAGGAUCACAUGGAGUACUUUUAUUCUUCCAUGAUUUUCCUUUUGUUACAUACAGAACAGCACUGUGCACAUACCUGUAUGUAUCAGAGAGCCAAGUAAAUGACCUGACAAAAAGAAAGGGCAGAAAACUCGAAAGAGAAUAAAAAUGAGGAUCUGUAAAAGAUUAGCUAUGAAACAUGCCAUAUUCUCCA